CUCUCUAAUUUUUUUUUUCACAUUUUCUCUCAAAUUUUCUGAAAACCAAACAUAGUCUGAAGUUGCCCUCCAGCCGAGAGAAUUGCCCUUUCCCCUUUUCUGAAGCUGCCCUCCAGCCGCUGAAGCUGCCCUCCAGCCAAGAGAGUUCCUCUUCCUAAAAAGACCUAUCUUCCUCUGCCACUCUCAAUCCUCGCAGAUUUUGUAUCCUGUGCGCGGGCUGGACUGGUAGGAAAAUAUCGGGAAAUUUUCCGAUAAAUCGGUAUUUCGCCGAUAUUUCGCAAACGUGAAAGGGGGACUGAAGGGUUUUGUCUUGGGAGAACCCUAACGCCGCCUUGCAUAGCAGCAGCUCUGCUUCCAAAAUGGAUCCGCAACCCGAACCUGUUAGCUACAUCUGUGGAGGUACAUCCAUUUUCUUUAACCUUCUUGUUUGGUUCCCGAGAAAUCUCAGGAACGUAAUGUAAAACGAGUUUUGGUUGAAUUGCUAUGGAAUUUUCUUUUCCUCUUCC
Molecule: long non-coding RNA, 506 nt
Organism: Vitis vinifera (wine grape)
Lineage: Eukaryota; Viridiplantae; Streptophyta; Magnoliopsida; Vitales; Vitaceae
Exons: 2
Source: RefSeq, a predicted model, not a curated record